UAGUUUAUUUUAGGAAAAAAUUUAAAUAUCACCUUUGUGGUUUCACACUUUGUCACUUUAGUAAUUUGUGAUUUAAAGUGUAUCAAUUUAAUGUCAUGUGGUUUUAUUUUUAUCUUUGUAUUAUCAAUUCUACUAAUUUUUUUUCGUUAAAUCAGUGACAAAGUUAAGACUAAAGGGUACUAAAGUGAAUAUUCGAUAAAUCUAAGUAAAGUAUCUGAAGUUUUUUGGAUAUAAUUUAACGAAAUAUUAACAAAAAAGUUGACGAAUAAAUAAAAAUAAAACAUAACACUAACUUGAUACACUUUAAACCACAUUGUAGUAAAGGAAGAAAGUGCGAAACCACAUGGGUGGUUUUUAAAGUUUAUUCUUUAUUUUAUUAUAAUAUGGUUUACAAAAUUAUACUUAACUAUUUUGUAAUUUUUUUUUUAUCGUAAAAUAGGAUAGCAAAGGAAAAAAAAUUAAAACCACCCAAUGUUACUAUAUUUAACAAUAAAUU
RNAcentral lists this long non-coding RNA (496 nucleotides) under Ananas comosus (pineapple). RNAcentral describes it as "long non-coding RNA (ACOM_LNC018422)". The record is from RNAcentral. Lineage: Eukaryota; Viridiplantae; Streptophyta; Magnoliopsida; Poales; Bromeliaceae.